Molecule: small nucleolar RNA, 117 nt
Filed under: Meriones unguiculatus (Mongolian gerbil)
Lineage: Eukaryota; Metazoa; Chordata; Mammalia; Rodentia; Muridae
Description: Small nucleolar RNA SNORA17 (ENSMUGG00000010628.1)
Rfam family: Small nucleolar RNA SNORA17
About the family: snoRNA ACA 17 belongs to the H/ACA family of snoRNAs and is predicted to guide pseudouridylation of the 28S rRNA at positions U4659 and U4598. It shares the same host gene together with ACA43.
Source: RNAcentral
CCUGGCCCUGCAGAUACGGGUCUUCAGGUUCUUCAGAAGGUGGCAAAGAGGAUAGAGCCUAUUGCCUCAGUCAGUGUAUCUAUCAAUGAACAUCUGAAUGAUUAGUAACCUAACAUU